RNAcentral lists this ribosomal RNA (391 nucleotides) under uncultured Alphaproteobacteria bacterium. RNAcentral describes it as "bacterial SSU rRNA". It matches the Rfam family "Bacterial small subunit ribosomal RNA", at positions 9 to 429 of the family's 1533-position model. The record is from RNAcentral. Lineage: Bacteria; Pseudomonadati; Pseudomonadota; Alphaproteobacteria.
GAGUUUGAUCCUGGCUCAGAACGAACGCUGGCGGCAUGCCUAACACAUGCAAGUCGAACGAUCCCUUCGGGGAUAGUGGCGCACGGGUGCGUAACGCGUGGGAACCUGCCCUUAGGUUCGGAAUAACUCAGAGAAAUUUGAGCUAAUACCGGAUAAUGUCUUCGGACCAAAGAUUUAUCGCCUUUGGAUGGGCCCGCGUUGGAUUAGCUAGUUGGUGAGGUAAAAGCCCACCAAGGCGACGAUCCGUAGCUGGUCUGAGAGGACGAUCAGCCACACUGGAACUGAGACACGGUCCAGACUCCUACGGGAGGCAGCAGUGGGGAAUUUUGGACAAUGGGGGCAACCCUGAUCCAGCCAUGCCGCGUGAGUGAAGAAGGCCUUCGGUUGUAAG